AGAAACUAACAAGGAUUCCCCUAGUAACUGCGAGUGAAGCGGGAAAAGCUCAAAUUUAAAAUCUGGUAGUCUUUGGCUGCCCGAGUUGUAAUCUAGAGAAGCAUUAUCCGCGCUGGACCGUGUACAAGUGUCCUGGAAUGGACUAUCAUAGAGGGUGAGAAUCCCGUCUUUGACACGGACUCCCAGGGCUUUGUGAUGUGCUCUCAAAGAGUCGAGUUGUUUGGGAAUGCAGCUCUAAAUGGGUGGUAAAUUCCAUCUAAAGCUAAAUAUUGGCGAGAGACCGAUAGCGAACAAGUACCGUGAGGGAAAGAUGAAAAGAACUUUGGAAAGAGAGUUAAACAGUACGUGAAAUUGCUGAAAGGGAAACGCUUGAAGUCAGUCGCGUCGGCUGGGGAUCAACCUUGCUUCUUGCUUGGCUUACUUCCCAGUUGACGGGUCAGCAUCAGUUUUGACCAGUGGAUAAAGGUYAAGGGAAUGUGGCACCUCCGGGUGUGUUAUAGCCCUUGGUCAUAUACAUUGGUUGGGACUGA
This 530-nucleotide ribosomal RNA is filed under the name Termitomyces aurantiacus. RNAcentral describes it as "eukaryotic LSU rRNA". It matches the Rfam family "Eukaryotic large subunit ribosomal RNA", at positions 60 to 589 of the family's 3401-position model. Lineage: Eukaryota; Fungi; Basidiomycota; Agaricomycetes; Agaricales; Lyophyllaceae. The record is from RNAcentral.